UACGUAGGGUGCGAGUGUUAAUCGGAAUUACUGGGCGUAAAGCGUGCGCAGGCGGUUUUGUAAGCCAGAUGUGAAAGCCCCGGGCUUAACCUGGGAAUGGCAUUUGGGACUGCAAGGCUUGAGUGUGGCGGAGGAGACUGGAAUUCCUGGUGUAGCAGUGAAAUGCGUAGAUAUCAGGAGGAAUACCGAUGGCGAAGGCAGGUCUCUGGGCUAACACUGACGCUCAUGCACGAAAGCGUGGGGAGCAAACAGG
Molecule: ribosomal RNA, 253 nt
Filed under: uncultured bacterium
Lineage: Bacteria
Description: partial 16S ribosomal RNA
Rfam family: Bacterial small subunit ribosomal RNA
Source: RNAcentral